UGGGGAAUCUUGGACAAUGGGGGCAACCCUGAUCCAGCCAUGCCGCGUGAGUGAUGAAGGCCUUAGGGUCGAACAGGCCUUGCCAUUGACGGUACCUGCAGAGGAAGCCCCGGCUAACUCCGUGCCAGCAGCCGCGGUAAUACGGAGGGGGCAAGCGUUAUUCGGAUUUACUGGGCGUAAAGCGCACGUAGGCGGACCAGAAAGUUGGGGUGAAAUCCCGGGGCUCAACCCCGGAACUGCCUCCAAAACUAUUGGUCUAGAGUUCGAGAGAGGUGAGUGGAAUUCCAAGUGUAGAGGUGAAAUUCGUAGAUAUUUGGAGGAACACCGGUGGCGAAGGCGGUCACCUGGGCCCAGUACUGACGCUGAGGCGCGAAAGCGUGGGGAGCAAACAGGAUUAGAUACCCUGGUAGUCCACGCCGUAAAACGAUGAGCACUCGGUGCCGCGGGGUAUCGACCCCUGCGGUGCCUGAGCUAACGCAUUAAGUGCUCCGCCUGGGGAGUACGGUCGC
RNAcentral lists this ribosomal RNA (509 nucleotides) under uncultured bacterium. RNAcentral describes it as "bacterial SSU rRNA". It matches the Rfam family "Bacterial small subunit ribosomal RNA", at positions 355 to 889 of the family's 1533-position model. The record is from RNAcentral.